GACGAACGCUGGCGGCGUGCUUAACACAUGCAAGUCGAACGGAAAGGCCCUGCUUUUGUGGGGUGCUCGAGUGGCGAACGGGUGAGUAACACGUGAGUAACCUGCCCUUGACUUUGGGAUAACUUCAGGAAACUGGGGCUAAUACCUGAUAGGAGCUCCUGCUGCAUGGUGGGGGUUGGAAAGUUUCGGCGGUUGGGGAUGGACUCGCGGCUUAUCAGCUUGUUGGUGGGGUAGUGGCUUACCAAGGCUUUGACGGGUAGCCGGCCUGAGAGGGUGACCGGGCACAUUGGGACUGAGAGACGGACCAGACUGCUAAGGGAGGCAGCAGUGGGGAAUAUUGCACAAUGGGCGGAAGCCUGAUGCAGAAACGCCGCGUGCGGGAUGACGGCCUUCGGGUUGUAAAACGAUUUCGCAUGUGACGAAGAGUGAGUGACGGUAAUGGGUAAAGAAGCACCGGCUAACUACGUG
RNAcentral lists this ribosomal RNA (468 nucleotides) under uncultured bacterium. RNAcentral describes it as "partial 16S ribosomal RNA". It matches the Rfam family "Bacterial small subunit ribosomal RNA", at positions 28 to 507 of the family's 1533-position model. The record is from RNAcentral.